Non-coding RNA from Phascolarctos cinereus (koala), 1628 nucleotides. Lineage: Eukaryota; Metazoa; Chordata; Mammalia; Diprotodontia; Phascolarctidae. The record is from RefSeq and is a predicted model, not a curated record.
CCCCGACUGUGACUGUGGUGGUUCUCCAGGAGAUUAUGAAGGCUGCGUGUCCUAGGUGGUUAGAGGUUGGAGUUUUCACCUUGGUAUUCUAACCACCCAGUAAUGGGGACUUCCCCUCCUUGCCUUUGGUUCUUUUUAAUCGACCACCUAUCCGGACCAGAUUGCCUUGUAACUCUCUGCUGAGCCUUCAUUUGACAGAGAUAGCUGUGAUUGUUAAUAGGAGCCUUCACUUCUGCCCAUUUAACUUGCCUCGGUUUGACAGCUUCACAAUAGCCACCUUCCAGCUAAAGAAAACCUUGAUUUAGUAGAAAGGGAAUGUGGGACAACAGCCUGCUCUGCCUCUCAGUCUCCAAUGGCCAGUGAUUCCAUCCUUCUCUAAGUAGAAGUUGAUGUGAGAAGGUAUCCACAAAGUGAGAUCCAGGCACUGGACUCAAACCACCAGCUCCUUUUUUUUUUUUUUAAACUGAAGACCUAAAUACUCGCCAUAGUGGUACAUCCUGGGAAUGGCUACUGAUGGACUGAAUGGGAGCCUGGGGUAAGAUCCAUACCCCACUGUUACAAGUCAGGAUAAGAGAGACUCUUUGGGCACUAGUUCAGCUGAGCAUUCAUCUUUAUCUGUUUUGGACACUUGAAAAUCCUACAUCUUCGUUAAGAUUGGACUACUUGUUCCAGUGCAAAGAUAAAACCACCCAGGCACUCACUUUUCUUGCUUGCCUCAACAUUCUGACACGUAAAUUUGAGGGAGAAAAGUGAUAUAUUGGUACGCAAAGAAAAAGGUUUUGUUUUGCUUUGCUUUGCUUUAUUUUUUAAACCCAUGACAGGGGUACAGAAGGGGAAAAUGCUUCCUUUGGAUGGGAUGUAUUCUCCUCACUCCCUGCGUCCUUUGGUAAAGGCACCUAAAUCAUUAGUGUUUGCUAAUGCAAAUGAAAGUGCCCCCUGGUGUUUCUUUCUCCUAUUAUAACAGGCCCUUUCAAUCGCUGUUUGGGACAGCCCAAAACCCAUGCGCCACAAGAGGACUUUCAUUCUUUUCAGAGCCCUUGGAAUAGAUGUGUUAUCUCACACAUAGUCUGGGUGUUUUUCCUCCUAAGGAAAAUACCAUGUUUUUGGAUUAAAAAGCUUUUCUCCAUGCCCUAGGAGGCUUCAGUUAUUUCUCUGUCUUCACUUCUCUUGGAAGCCCUCGUUCAUUUCUAAGGAAAUAAGUGUAUUCGCCCUUCCUUACAGAACUCUCUCCACCUUUGCUACAAAAUGCAUCAUUUUCAUAGUAUUUCUUCAGUCCUGUCAAAUAAAGUUAGUUCAAAUUAUUCAAUUUGAGGCUCACUCAUGUGUAGUGAAGUGCAUCUAUUUAUCUCUUCCAAGAGACUUAACACCAUCCAAGAAGGUGCAAACAAAAAUCUUUAAAACAAAGCUGAGAUCUUACCGCUAACACCCAAAAUAACUCCAUUUUAACUGCCUGAACUGUGCAGACUUCGAAUACAGGGGCAUAUUUCAUUAGAGUUUCUGCAAUUGUUCAGUUCACUUUUUCCAGUGUUUUACCUGUCAGCAGAUGACAGAGCUUGUCAGGAAAAAAAAUUACAGUUAAUGGUAGUUAAUGGUGGCGAAACUCAAUGGACUCGUUUCUAUUUUGCUUU